UCAAACUUCUGAUCAAAAGCAUCAUCAAAGGCAUCAUCAAAUUCAUCAUCUAAUCGAUCAUCAUAUGCAUCAUCCAAUCGAUCAUGGCUUGAUGAUGCUGCCAUUAUAAAUUUUUUAGAUAUUGGUGAUUAGAGAUAAGGAGAGGAAAAAUUUGAGGAUAGAAUUUGGCCAAGUUUUUGUGUUUGACAAAGUGUUUUUAGUUUGAAUGAGAAGAGAAUAUGGAAUUUGGGAAAGGUUGAUGA
RNAcentral lists this long non-coding RNA (242 nucleotides) under Eutrema salsugineum. RNAcentral's name for it is "long non-coding RNA (ESAL_LNC000339)". The record is from RNAcentral. Lineage: Eukaryota; Viridiplantae; Streptophyta; Magnoliopsida; Brassicales; Brassicaceae.